This 73-nucleotide transfer RNA is filed under the name Marmota monax (woodchuck). Its description in RNAcentral is "tRNA.Val". It matches the Rfam family "tRNA". From Rfam's summary of the family: Transfer RNA (tRNA) molecules are approximately 80 nucleotides in length. The record is from RNAcentral. Lineage: Eukaryota; Metazoa; Chordata; Mammalia; Rodentia; Sciuridae.
CUGGGGUUGUGGCUCAGUGGUAGAGCACUUGCCUCACAAGUGUGAGGCACUAGUUUGAUCCUAGCACCACAUA